Oryza sativa Japonica Group (Japanese rice) is the source of this 3960-nucleotide non-coding RNA. The record is from RefSeq and is a predicted model, not a curated record. NCBI's taxonomy places the organism in Eukaryota, Viridiplantae, Streptophyta, Magnoliopsida, Poales, Poaceae.
GCGUCGCCCUUGCCCGUGGCCGCACACCACACCAUAGCCGGCAGCAGCAAAGCAGAGCGCGCCGAGGCCAGCUCCCUGGUCGAGGCGCCGGAGCGCCGCCCUCCGCUAGCUUCUAGCCCGUGGUCUCCGCCAGCUGCUAGCCCUCCGCUCACUACUCGUCGGUCGGCGCUACCCCGUGGCCACGCUUUCGGCCGCUGCCCACUAGGCCAGAUCCAGCGCGUCGCGUGCUCGGCGCGAUGGCCAGCAACCGCGACAACCUCCCGAGCUGUAGGAGCACAGAGCCGGCCUGCCGGCGAGCCUGACUGCUCCAGUUCUCUCCGAAGGCUGACUUCGAUUUGAUUUCUUCGACUUCAGAGUGUGUCGCAGAUGGACAGAAGUUGGGUGAAUACUAGGCUAUUUAGCAAGGAACAUCUAGAAGGGUCACUGAGUUCAUGAACUUUGUUUCUGCUAAUUUGGAUGAUAGUCAGGAGAUAUUAUGUCCAUGUCGUAAGUGUUUGAAUCGGUUACAUCAACAUAAAGGAGAAGUUGAGACUCACUUAUAUAUUUAUGGGAUGACUAGCACGUACACUAAUUGGAUACAUCAUGGAGAAGCAUUGGAUGAUAUAAUUGGCUGCAGUGUUGAAGCUGGUGAUAUUGGCUGCAAUGUUGAAACUGAGAUGAAUGAGCCUAAAGAUGACCCAGAUGAUGAUCGAAUCCAUGAGAUGGUACAUGAGUUGUACACAGCCGAAGACCAUGAACCAGCAACAAAGUCCAAGUUUGCAACCAUAUUAGAAGAGAUGAAACAGCAACUACACCCUAAUGGUCCCUAUACCAGAUUUUCUUUUGUGGUGAAGUUGCUACACAUCAAGUAAUUUUAUAGAAUAAGCAAUGUUGCGUUCGAUGCUUUUUUGAAGUUGUUAAGUGUACAAUUCCCAAAAUGUUCUAUUCCUGCAUCUUAUGCUGAAGCGAAGAAAGUUAUUCGUGCAUUGGGACUUGGAUAUGAUUCAAUACAUGUUUGUCCGAAUAACUGUGUUUUGGUUAGAAAGGAGUUGGCUAAAAUGGAUAAUUGCCCAGUAUGUGGUGCUUCAAGAUGGAAGGAUGAAGAUACAAGAAAGCAAAUUCCAAACAAGGUUUUGAGGCAUUUUCCUGUGGUUCCAAGGUUGCAAAGGAUGUUUGCAUCCAAAAAGCUUUCAGAGCAGGCACAAUGGCACAAGUUGAAGAGAAAACCAGUGCACAAUGAACUUAGCCAUCCAGCUGAUGGCGAGGCAUGGAAGGAUUUUGAUAGGAAAUAUGACUGGUUUGCAAAAGAUGCAAGGAAUGUCCAACUUGACCUCGCUACUGAUGGGUUUAAUCCAUUUGGGAAGAUGAGCGCCUCGUUCAGCAUGUGGCCAGUAUUCCUUAUUCCUUAUAAUUUUCCUCCAUGGGAAUGUAUGGAGCAAUCCAACUUCAUGAUGGGCCUACUCAUUCCUGGUCCGACAAGCCCAGGAAAGGAUAUGGAUCUCUUCUUGCAACCCCUGAUUGAUGAGUUGUUAGAUCUUUGGAAAGGUGUCCCUACCUAUGAUGCUCUGACUAAGAAAUCAUUUGAUCUUCAUGCUACAGUUAUAUGGUGCAUUCAUGACUAUCCAGCACUGAGCACACUUUCAGGCAGAGUUACUACAGGUUACUAUGCCUGUGUUCGUUGUGACAAAAAUCCUUGCUCUAGAAGAUUAAGGAACAAGAUUUGUUAUAUUGGCCAUCGACGUUUUCUCCCACGGGACCAUGUUUGGAGGACAAAAUUUUUUUUCGAUGGACAGACCGAAGAACGUGAGCAGCCUGAGGAAUUUACUAUGGAUGAGCUGAAUGAGCAAUUGGCGAGGGUUUCACAUGUUAAACCUGGGAACCAUCCUGAUAACAAAAAGAGAAAGAGACAAGAAGAAGGUCAAUGCUGGAAGCGAAGGGCGAGUUUGUGGGAUUUGCCAUAUUGGUCAAAUUUGAAGUUACGUCACAAUCUUGAUGUAAUGCAUAUCGAGAAAAAUAUAUGUGAGGCCCUUCUCGGGACAUUUCUCGACAUUACAGGGAAGUCAAAGGACUCAAUUAAUGCAAGGCUUGAUUUGGAAGAUAUGGGUGUGAGGAAAAAUUUACACUUGAAGCCUGAUGGGAAUUCGUACACUCUCCCACACGCUUCAUAUACGAUGACUAAAACCCAGAAGCUUGCUUUUUGUGCUUUUAUAAAGAAUGUGAAAUUCCCAGAUGGAUAUGCCUCCAGCCUAUCAAGGUGUAUUUCUGCUGAUGAAUGCAAAGUACAGGCAUUGAAAACGCAUGAUUAUCAUAUCCUUCUGCAGAGGAUAUUGCCUGUAAGCCUCCGAGGAAUCCUGGAUAAGGAAAUUUAUGAAGCAAUUGCUGAAUUAGGUAACUUUUUUCAGCAAAUAUGUGCUAAGACAUUGAAGGUAGAUGUCUUGAACAAAAUGAGAAGUGAAAUCCCAAUAAUAUUGUGCAAGCUUGAGAAAAUUUUUCCACCUUUUUUUUGAUGUCAUGGUACACUUUUCCAUUCAUUUAAUCGAUGACGCAAUCCUUAGGGGUCCGGUUCAGUAUGGAUGGAUGUACCCAGUUGAGCGUAGGUUGCUUACUUUGAAGCGUUUUGUGAGGAACAUGGCAAGACCCGAGGGGUCCAUUGCAGAGGCAUAUGUCGCAAACGAGUGCUUGAAUGCUUGCUCUAGGUAUUUUGAUGAUGUUGACACACGACACAAUUGUGAGGGCAGGAAUAGAGAGCGUGUAGUUUUGAGAGAAGGUGGCUUAUCUAUUUUCCAGCAUGGAGUCACUCUUCUUGGUGCAUCGAGGAUGACGUACAAUGAGAAGGAUUAUGACAAGAUGCUUUGGUAUAUCCUCAACAAUACUCCGGAGGUCGAGCCAUUUAUAGAGAUAUGCAGGACAGAGUUGGAGAGUGCUGGCAAUGUUGAUGUUGAUAGGGCUCUUGCUAAGGAAUUUGCAGGAUGGUUUAAUAAACACCUUGCAACCAGAAAAUUUGUGCAUGGAGAAGAAGUCAAUGAAGACCUAUAUGCAUUGGCAAGUGAACCACAUCUUAGAGUUCAUUUAUUUUCAGGAUGUCUUGUUAAUGGUGUUCGCUAUCACACCUUGGACCGUGAGAGAAGUAGAAAAACACAAAACAGUGGUGUCAUGGUUGAGGGCUCACAUAAUGGAGGAGAUAUAGACUUGUAUGGUCAGUUGAAAGAAAUAAUUCAGUUGCAGUACAACUCUGAUUCGAACAGUCAAAGGACAGUAGUUUUAUUUCAGUGUAAUUGGUUUGACACUUGUAGCAAGAAGUCUAGGAUUAAAGAUGAUGGCCAUUUCAAAAGUGUCAGCCAUGGCAGUUGCUGGUACAAGGAUGAUCCUUUCAUCUUUGCCACACAAGCAACAAAGGUUUUCUACUUAGAAGAUAACAAGCAUGGUGAGCCUUGGAAAGUUGUUCAAAAAUUUUCCCAUAGGCACUUGUGGAAUGUGCCCGAAGAAGAAAAUGAUGACCUGCCGGCCCAGGCAGAGCAUGAAUUGUCAUACCAAGAUGAUGAGCAAGAAAAUACUAGUUUUCAGGUUGCAGAUCUUGAGAGAGCUUCAAUCAACGAGCAGCCUAGCAAUUAUGAAGAUGGUAUUUGUGUUCAGGCUUCCCUAGUUGAUCAGAUCCAGAGGGAAAGGGAAUUGGAAGUUGAAGAAAAUGGCUUUGAAGAUGAUGCUGACGAAACUGUGAGACAAUAUGACAGUGAAAAUGAAGGGCCAAUCCAUGAUGAUGGUGAAUAUAGUGAUUUUGAGUAAAAUAUCUGUGUAUGGCUAAGUCCCACCAUAACCUGCUGUUAGAACAUGGCUGUCAGUUUAAAUUGUGAUCUGAGGAUUUGAUUGUUGUGUAUGAUGUUGUUUGAAUAUUUGAUGUUUGUGUUUUUGUGCAUUUGUUCUUUUCUGAAGUAUAUGUAUGAGGGGACUCCUUUGAAUAUAUCUGCUGACAGCAAUUUUUAA